This is a non-coding RNA of Pelobates cultripes (western spadefoot toad), 426 nucleotides long. The record is from the annotation of a GenBank genome assembly. Lineage: Eukaryota; Metazoa; Chordata; Amphibia; Anura; Pelobatidae.
UGUGGUCCCUGUAAAGCAUGUCAAAACAUCACUCCUACAAAAGAAAUUAAAUCUUUCAUCACUAAACCGAUUUUUUAAAAUACGUACUUUCAUUAAUUGCUCAUCUUCGAAUGUUGUUUAUCUGGCCAAUUCUAAAUGUGGGGUCCAAUAUAUUGGCAAAACUACUCAACAGCUUAGCCGUAUAAUCUUGCAACACAUUUACACCAUAAAUGCAGGGAGUGAUACACCAAUUGUGAGACAUAUACAUAAUUUCCAUGAUGGCAAGGCAUCAAAUCUCACAUUUCAAGCCAUUGAAAAGCUUACCACAAGAGGGGGUGACAUCAACCCCAAAUUGCUAAGGCAGGAAUCAAGAUGGAUUUCCACCUUUAAACCAUUGAGUCCUAAUGGACUCAGUUAAGAAUUUAAUUAUACAUCUUUCAUCACCUA